UAGGGAAUCUUCCACAAUGGACGCAAGUCUGAUGGAGCAACGGCCGCGUGAGUGAAGAAGGUCUUCGGAUCGUAAAGCUCUGUUGUUGGUGAAGAAGGAUAGAGGCAGUAACUGGUCUUUAUUUGACGGUAAUCAACCAGAAAGUCACGGCUAGCUACGUGCCAGCAGCCGCGGUAAUACGUAGGUGGCAAGCGUUGUCCGGAUUUAUUGGGCGUAAAGCGAGCGCAGGCGGAAUGAUAAGUCUGAUGUGAAAGCCCACGGCUCAACCGUGGAACUGCAUCGGAAACUGUCAUUCUUGAGUGCAGAAGAGGAGAGUGGAACUCCAUGUGUAGCGGUGGAAUGCGUAGAUAUAUGGAAGAACACCAGUGGCGAAGGCGGCUCUCUGGUCUGCAACUGACGCUGAGGCUCGAAAGCAUGGGUAGCGAACAGGAUUAGAUACCCUGGUAGUCCAUGCCGUAAACGAUGAGCGCUAGGUGUUGGGGGACUUUCCGGUUCUCAGUGCCGCAGCAAAUCGCAUUAAGCGCUCCGCCUGGGGAGUACGACCGCAAGGUUGAAA
This 556-nucleotide ribosomal RNA is filed under the name uncultured bacterium. Its description in RNAcentral is "partial 16S ribosomal RNA". It matches the Rfam family "Bacterial small subunit ribosomal RNA", at positions 355 to 899 of the family's 1533-position model. The record is from RNAcentral.